Long non-coding RNA from Mobula hypostoma (lesser devil ray), 975 nucleotides. RefSeq lists it as uncharacterized. Lineage: Eukaryota; Metazoa; Chordata; Chondrichthyes; Myliobatiformes; Myliobatidae. The transcript is spliced from 3 exons. The record is from RefSeq and is a predicted model, not a curated record.
UUCUAUAGAUGUUGUUUGACCCGCUGAUUGUUUAUAGCAUUUUCCGUUUUUAUUUCAGAUUUCCACCAUCUGCAUUUAUUGCUUAUUUUCAUCCCUGUUGCAUUCUGCCUGAUUGGACAUUCAUACUCAGCUCUUGAGAAGGAGGAGAGCUUUUGUCAGCCAAUUUACACUGAUCAUUUGAGUUAGUUGGGUGAUGUGGUCAAAGACUUGCAGUGUUCCUUCUGUCUGCUUGACCAAGGAAUUAAUGUCAGCAGCAUCUGCUUCAAUGUCAGUGCAGCUGAGUACCAGAGUUAUAAUACCUAAGGAAGCAAGAAAUUAAUAAUAGAUGCAAAAGGGAAUAUAAACAGAACCUUGCAUAAACCAGCUAACAGCAAACACUCUUGAGUAAUAUAUUAGGAGCAGAGGGGUAAAGGGAAAUGACUGCUCAUUAUAAGCAGAUGAGGUGGGGUGCAAAGAAAGGAAAUGUUGAAGUUCUAAAAUAAGUACUCUGUAUCCAUUUUCACAGAGGAAGAAUGGGAGAAAAUCUCAGUUACAAUACAAGGAGAAGAACUAGUGGAUUUAAUAUGUAAAGUAAUGAUGGCGGAUAAAACAGUGAGACAGUAUAAAGUUUCAGAAUCUGACACCUUUCAUCCCAGGGUAGAUAAAGCAUCUGUAAGCAAUAAGCAAUUUUAAGUAUCUAGAUUCAUGAAUAGUGUCUUUAGCUUGGAAACUGAAAAUGUUCUCACAGUAUCCGAUGGAGGGAGGGAGAAAGUCCACAACAGUACAACAUGAACGUGCGUCAGUUUGAGGUUUUUCUAUUUACUUGACUGCUUCACUGACUGAUCAAAGGUACCAUACUUACAGUUGAUACAUCUCCUGGAUAUCCAAUACAAAAGAGGCAAAGUGUGAAAAAUCACAACCUGCAAUCCUCAACCUUUCACAUGCAACUGAACUGUAAAACAAACAAAUAUUGCAACCUAACUUUUAAAAUACUUA